CUGGCCUCUCCAGACCCCUCUCCCCUCCCAGACAUCCCCUGUGAGAAAGGAGGGAGAGGGUGUUCCUGACCUUCAGGAAACCUGCCAAUCUCUUAUACCCAUCUUACAGAAGAUAAGGAAGAGACAACUGGUUAUGAACUAAGUCAAAGCCUCAGGUAAAGUACAAGUUCUUCUAGAUAGGGGAAUUGAGCAUGCAGAUCCUAAAAUUCCUAGAGAACACCGCAGGAUGCCUGCUGCACCAUUUGCCGCACCGUUCUGAAAACCGACAUUUGUUCAGGUACAUUGAUCAGGAAAGGGAACAUUUGCACAUUUAUUGAGAGGAAAUUAAAUGGCAAGUAUUGUUAUGUGACUGGAAUGUAACAUUCCAUACUCUACCUGGUAACUUCCAAGGCUUUAUUUUGGGGGGUGGGGAGAACGAAGGACUUACUACCCUCUGUGGCUUCCUUAUGGUCACAUGAGGCAAAUCCUUUAUGAGAAGCACCAGGCUUCUAAAAGACUAGUGAUCGGCUGCAUGACAUGUCCAAUGAGAAAUUUUAAUUUUCUCAUAUGAUUCAUAGUUGUAAUUAUUUAUUUAUUUAUUUAUUUAUUUAUUUAUUUAU
RNAcentral lists this long non-coding RNA (599 nucleotides) under Homo sapiens (human). RNAcentral's name for it is "HSALNT0392708". Lineage: Eukaryota; Metazoa; Chordata; Mammalia; Primates; Hominidae. The record is from RNAcentral.